RNAcentral lists this ribosomal RNA (407 nucleotides) under uncultured bacterium. RNAcentral's name for it is "partial 16S ribosomal RNA". It matches the Rfam family "Bacterial small subunit ribosomal RNA", at positions 30 to 526 of the family's 1533-position model. The record is from RNAcentral.
AUUGAACGCUGGCGGCAGGCCUAACACAUGCAAGUCGAGCGGAGCGGCGGACGGGUGAGUAAUGCCUAGGAAUCUGCCUGGUAGUGGGGGAUAACGUACGGAAACGGGCGCUAAUACCGCAUACUCUAAGAAGAACGUGGGUCGGAUUAGCUAGUUGGUGGGGGAAAGGCCUACCAAGGCGACGACCAGUAACUGGUCUGAGAGGAUGAUCAGUCACACUGGAACUGAGACACGGUCCAGACUCCUACGGGAGGCAGCAGUGGGGAAUAUUGGACAAUGGGCGAAAGCCUGAUCCAGCCAUGCCGCGUGUGUGAAGAAGGUCUUCGGAUUGUAAAGCACUUUAAGUUGGGAGGCGUUACCAACAGAAUAAGCACCGGCUAACUUCGUGCCAGCAGCCGCGGUAAUUC